GAGAAGAGAUAGAGAAAUGACGAUCCAAUUCGAGAAGAACCGCAAGAAGAGAGGCAUCAGCGCCGAUCACGGUAUAGGUAAGCACCGUAAACAUCUCGAAGGUCACGGUAACACUGGAGGCAUGCACCAUCACCAGAUCCGGGGUAUUUCAAUAAAAUUGGUAUGAUAUACUUUCACAAGCUUUGCUGAAAGUUUUUACUGCCCCAUCGUCAACGUCGACAAGCUCUGGUCGCUCCUCCCCUAGGAGGCUAAGGACAAUGCGCUGCUCAUCGAUGGGACGCCGUACGACUUCUUCAAGGUCUGGGAAAGGGUGUGUUGCCACAACACCAACCCGUUGCUGAGAUUAUCAUCAUCCUACUUCCAAGGAGAUAGAGUUGGAGAUCAAACGGACCUAGAAGGGGCAGGAUGUGUUGAAAUCGAUUCUAAAUAGAGCGAUACAGGUUGGAGAGAAAGUAGCACUCUCCUAAAACCCAUGUGUUUUCUUUGAAUUUUAUGUUGGGAUGGCUCUUCACCUUGAAAAGUGUGGCUUUAUAUCAAUGAGGCAGCGUCCGAGCUGAUAAAGAUUGUAGUGAGCCAAUUCUGGAGCAAUACAGAAUUGGAAAGAAAUUCAUGAGAAAAAAGGAUAGGGUGGACGAUGGAAAUCCUGGAGAAUGCUCUAUCCACAGGUAAUUUAAAAGUGAUAUAGUAUUAAAUAUAUAGACAAGUGAUCUCAAACUUAUGUAAUUAGUUAGCCUUUUCAUAUAUACUUGGAAUUACAUUAAUAACUAGUUAAUUAAUUAUUUGAAGUCCACCUUAAUUUUUCACGUUAGAAGGGAAAGGCCAUAUGACCUCUGCAAUGUUUGAGUUGUCUUUUUUCGUAGAGGGAACUAUUGCCAAAAUAAUCUCAUGAGAAGUAUAAGAAGUAUCAGAAGAAAUUCAUGAGAAGAAUGAUAAGGUGGAGGA
This is a long non-coding RNA of Malus domestica (apple), 942 nucleotides long. RefSeq lists it as uncharacterized. The record is from RefSeq and is a predicted model, not a curated record. Lineage: Eukaryota; Viridiplantae; Streptophyta; Magnoliopsida; Rosales; Rosaceae.